This is a long non-coding RNA of Sapajus apella (tufted capuchin), 536 nucleotides long. RefSeq lists it as uncharacterized. The record is from RefSeq and is a predicted model, not a curated record. The transcript is spliced from 2 exons. NCBI's taxonomy places the organism in Eukaryota, Metazoa, Chordata, Mammalia, Primates, Cebidae.
UAAGGGACUAUUUUACACAACUGUAUACAAAUAUAUUUGAAAUCUGCAUUGAUUACUAUCCAAUACAACUUCUAAAUCAUAAAAAUGUCCUACAUCUGCACUGUUCAAUAUGUAGCCACUAGCUACGUGUGUUGAGUGAAUACUUGUACACUUAAAUGUGGCUCAUGCGACUGAGAAAUUGAAUUUUUCUGAUUAUUAAUUUACUUAAUUUUUAAUUAUAAUUGCAUUAUAAUUAGUUUAAAUUUGAAUAGUCUCAUGCAGCUAGUGGUAUUGUAUCAGAAAGCACAGAAUAUGAAAUUGAAAUUUUCUUAAGACAGUGUUAUUUACCAAAGUUAAAUCCAAAAGAGUAUUUAUUUUUAUAAAAAGCUUAAACAGACCAACUCUACAAAAGACAUACAGUUACUAAAGAAUCUCAUUCUCUCCCUCUGACACACACACACACACACACACACACAGACAACCCAUGUGAAAAAUGGGCAAAGAAUCUUAAAUAGGGAUUUCUCCAAAGAACAUAUAGAAAUAGCCAAAAAGAAAAU